Molecule: ribosomal RNA, 57 nt
Filed under: Chloroparvula japonica
Lineage: Eukaryota; Viridiplantae; Chlorophyta; Chloropicophyceae; Chloropicales; Chloropicaceae
Description: partial 5.8S ribosomal RNA
Rfam family: 5.8S ribosomal RNA
About the family: 5.8S ribosomal RNA (5.8S rRNA) is a component of the large subunit of the eukaryotic ribosome.
Source: RNAcentral
AACUCUUAACAAUGGAUGUCUUGGUUCUCGCACCGAUGAAGAACGCAGCGAAAUGCG